GACAAGAAAUUGUGUACUCGCUUGGCUAAUGUUUUACUAGACCUAAAGAUUUUCCCUGCUCUGCUCUGUUAGGCGCUCCAUCUUCGGAUUCGAUGUCGGACGAUCUGAGAAAUAAGAGGAGGAAUAAUCCAGCAGAAGAAUUCGGUGACGAAGAACAAGGUGAUAUUUCUCUCGUGUGAACACAAUCAUUGUUUUCUUGAUGUUAUCACCCAUGUGUUAAUGUUGUAGAAGAUUUAUCAUUUGACUUCUUCUUUUAGGUUUAAUUUGUGUUUAGUUAUUGCCACAGAUUGUGAUGUUCAUAUAUGGGGAUUUUUUUGUCAAUUUUGUUGCUUCAAUAUGUAGGUGCGUGCUACUAUCCAUGUGGCAUAUCUAAUAGGUCAGACUGGUUUGCUAGCUUAAUUUUUUAGCUUGAUGUUUUCAUUUAGGGGUGUCCUCUUCAGCUGCAUCUUUUGUGCAGCUCCAAAAUUCUAUCUUUCAAAGCACUUAUUUCCAUGUUCUGUUUAUUAUUUUUAAGUCAUGAAAACUCUUUUCGGUGUGCUUGAUCACUCCACUUCCAUGUUUAUCCUUGCAGAAAAGAAUACCUUUAUCCUGAUAGGCAUGGAAACACCGGUUCGCAUUGAGUGCAUCAUCGCUAAUCAGCUACUAUUAGAGAGCAAGGGACAUAUAAGAAAUCUCCAGGCAGCUUCACUUAGAUGCAUCAUCUUCUGCUAGGAGUCAGCUUGAAGAACGACCUUCUCAAGUUAAUUCUUGGGUCAGUGUUUCGGCUUUUCUCCAUUGGUUCAUAAAAACCAUAUGGUAACUUGACUUUACAUAGAACCUGCUGCACUAUAACUUUGGUUUAAUCUGUCGAUAAUGCCCAUGAGUAUAUUCUUAGUGUAUGUUUGACCAGAUUGUUUUAAGUUGUGUUGUUCCUAUGCUUCAGGAGACUGCAACUGACAUGUUGUAUGGCGAAUAACCAAAUUUGUGGACAAAGACAAAGAGUUCAUCGCAAGGGGUGGUGUUUAGGAUAUAUACACAAAAGAGGAAACUUUUUUUGUACAAAACCAAAUUAUAUGAUGUAAUUGACCACUAUUUCUAAGAAAUGUUCAUCAUGUAUUCAGUACAUUUUAUUGUCACUUUUUUUGAAGGGUAGCUUUAUUCAUCAAACAUCACAAAGUGUGUGAUAGAGUUCAUCAAA
Triticum aestivum (bread wheat) is the source of this 1177-nucleotide long non-coding RNA. RefSeq lists it as uncharacterized. The transcript has 2 exons. The record is from RefSeq and is a predicted model, not a curated record. NCBI's taxonomy places the organism in Eukaryota, Viridiplantae, Streptophyta, Magnoliopsida, Poales, Poaceae.